Molecule: long non-coding RNA, 2185 nt
Organism: Ostrea edulis (European flat oyster)
Lineage: Eukaryota; Metazoa; Mollusca; Bivalvia; Ostreida; Ostreidae
Exons: 2
Source: RefSeq, a predicted model, not a curated record
CUACCGCACAGGUAUCUAAAAUUGAGUUAAAAUGAUAGUGACAAAAAAGUCAUGAUUUUUAUAAUAGCACAGUGCAUUUCCGUCGGUCGACGAGGACAGACAAACCGCUUUUUUUUUAAUUCUAAAAUAAUAUGUAAAUUAAAGUUAAUUCGGUGUAGGUUGUUUGUAUAUUUUACAUUGACGUCUUCCACGUGGUCUGGAAAUUAUGAAGGAAAACAAAAUCAUGUAGAUAACACCUUCAUGAAUACUAGUACAUUACGUUUGUUCAUACCGUGUAUUCUUUGCCAGACAGAGUGGAUUAAUGAUUACAGCGAUAGCUUUAGAAAGGAAGCGUUAUUGCACGUGACGUCAAAGUACAAAAUAUUGUCCACAAAGGGAUAUUUUGACGACGAAAAGAAAUUUAACGCGGGGUUUGCGGUGGAGCAGUUCCUUUUGAACGGUCGGAUUACUAUACAUGCACUUUCAUGUACGAAUAAUGAUAUUGGAAUUGUAGCGUAACGGAAUAUACUAAGCUGUCCGGAGCUUGGUUAAGUGCUUGUUAUUGAUGGGUACAUUGGUAUACUAAGCAGAUGAAGGAACAUUUUCUACACACGUUUCCGAAACGUGGUGUUUGUUUCAUGAUGCGUCUCUUAAAGUGCAAAGUUAAAAAAUAAACAAUUCUAUGAAGGAUUUUCCUUUGUUGAAUUCAUUUUUAUUUUUAUACACUGCGUUGCGCUCGACCUAAUUGUUUUUUAGAUAUUUUUGGAAGGACUUGUUUACGCCAUACCCUUGAAGUUACGAAACCCUAGUUGGGUCAAAUUGGAGGCAUAACAAAAAACAUUGUAAGUCGCAAUUACGGAUAAAAAGUCGUAAUACUGAGGUAAAAACUUGAAAUUACGACUUUGGAAAGUCAUGAUAACGAGAUAAAAAGUCGUAAUAACGAGGUAAAAAGUCGUAAUAACGAAGUAAAAACUUGUAAUUACGACUUUGGAAAGUCAUGAUAACGAGAUAAAAAGUCGUAAUAACGAGUUUCUGUCUAGAUAAUGACAUAUGUAAUGAGAUACUGAUACUUUAGAGGAACCACAACUGACUUGCAUACCAAACCUUAAUUUAUUUAUUAGAUUAUCAACCCGUUAAUUGAAUUCAUUCUCUUAUUCAAUAUUUUGCUACUUAUCCCUUUAUAAAUUCUACUGAGACUACCCGGGCUUUUUGCAUACAUGCCAACUUUCCCGAUUUGUGCGGGAUUCUCCCGAUUUGAAGCAACUGAAAAGGCAAAUCCCGAUAUCCCGAUCGGGAUUGCAAAAAUACCCCGAAAUCCCGAUUUUCUAAAAAAAAAAAAAAAAAAAAAAAAAAAAUAUCUCCCAUUUUACGACAACAAACCCCCAUUUCCAACCGGAAUUUGAAAUCCCGCGUCAUUUCUGAACUGGCCAAUCAGAAAUCGGGACAAUAGUCAGCCAUUACUGUUUACCUGUGUCGCAUGGUAUUAGGGUGGUUUAAUUUACCUGGUCUGUCUGUGUCGGGGUGCUUAUUGGACAGUGCGAAGCAUGUUUUUAGAUAGUAAUUAAUCGGGAAGACGGAUUUCAAAUUAACAUAUCCUUUACACAAACGUGAAUGACAACGAUGAUAGUGUCACCACCAAACAAUCGGACAUUCCCGAGUUUUGUCUCUCGCUGACAGCAUCCAAAAUAUGUAAUUUAUUUUUCCAACUACAUAUGUAUAAUAAUAUAGGCUAUCCAAAUCUAUAGCGAUGUAUUAUAUAGUCUAUAUAGUGUAGUAUUCAAUAAACUUUGUGAUGAGUAAUUCGCACAAGUCUGUACUGAAUUUUAUAUUAGCAAGUUAAUUUACAAGUAAAAACGUAUAUUUUGAUGUGGGUUUUUUUCCUGGAAAUUAUUUCAGAUGCCAUGGGUGCAACGGUUUUGUUCGCAAAUUUCAUAGCAGGGAUGAUCACUCCUUUUCUGGUUGUAAUGCAGAUUGUUCCACCAGACUUUGCAAGCCCACGUUUACAUACAAGCAAGAUCGCCUUUGUAAUCGUACCUAAAUGCAUGAGCUUUAAUUUAAAUUUUGAUAUAUAGACCAGCCAAUGUUUAUAUGGUGUAAAAGGAUGCAACUUUAAGUAUUAUUUGAUAAUAUGUAGGUGACUUGUUGUUGAAGAGAAUUUUUUGCUGAAUACAUGAUUUUAAUAAAAUAUUUAUGUGUAUCUUUCAAA